CAGGAAGGCAGACACAUGAAGACCUGGGGACUCUUCAAACAGCCAGUCUAUUCAAGUUGGUGAGCCCCAGGACUCUGGCUGUCAUAUGGUUGCUCUGUGUGUGGACUGCUUUUGUUCCUUCCAACACUGUAGGGCUGGCAUCGAUUUUUGCUUACAGAACACUGUGAAGGGAAGUCAGGACAGGAACCCAAAGCAGGAACCAUGAAGAAAAGGUACUUACCACCUUGCUUC
Long non-coding RNA from Mastomys coucha (southern multimammate mouse), 231 nucleotides. RefSeq lists it as uncharacterized. Lineage: Eukaryota; Metazoa; Chordata; Mammalia; Rodentia; Muridae. The record is from RefSeq and is a predicted model, not a curated record. The transcript is spliced from 3 exons.